AUUGAAACACCGGUUCUCGUACGAACACCGAAGUUAAGCAAUUUCGAGCCUGGUCAUUUCCUACAUGGGUGACAGAUUGGGAAUACCAGGUGCUGUAA
Molecule: ribosomal RNA, 98 nt
Filed under: Acanthosepion pharaonis
Lineage: Eukaryota; Metazoa; Mollusca; Cephalopoda; Sepiida; Sepiidae
Source: RNAcentral